Long non-coding RNA from Molossus molossus (Pallas's mastiff bat), 714 nucleotides. RefSeq lists it as uncharacterized. NCBI's taxonomy places the organism in Eukaryota, Metazoa, Chordata, Mammalia, Chiroptera, Molossidae. The transcript is spliced from 6 exons. The record is from RefSeq and is a predicted model, not a curated record.
GGGGCGCUGAGCUGGCCGCUCCGGGGACCGGGAGCGAGCAGGCUCCGGCUGCAGGCAGAGACGGGGUCCCUCUGUAUCAUGCAUGAAUUUGACAAACAUUUGUUGAAGGUCUAGAGUUCUGUGACCACAUUUUCUGAACUCCAACUCAUGAUGUGUGAUAAAGAAUUUUUCUGAAAUACAGUGCUGACCAAGGGAUGCGUGGUCUCUGCCUUCAUGGAAUUUAUAGUUUAAAGAGACAUAAUGACAGAAGGUGAAUUCAGGAUACUUUGAACACAGAUCAGGCUAUCCUUUCCUGAGUACUUCACAGUUAAGUUGAAAUCUCAUUGGCUGACAGAGCAGUCUCUAUCUGGAAUAUUGCCAUUGUCAUGGCAGAAGGAAAAGAAAAGUGUCCCUCUCAGCUGGAGCUUUCUGAAAUCCCGCCACCAUUCUGUGAGAAGCCAAAGCCUCACCGAAAGGCUGUAUGUUGGUGUUCUUGUCAAUAGUACCAGCUAGCCUUCAGUUCAUCCCAGCCCAGGCACCAGACAGGCGAGUGAAGACACAAUCUUGUACUGGCAUCUGUUUAAUUGAACCACAAAGAGUAAAACAGUCAAGAACAAAGAAUCAAAGAGGAUAAAGCAAUAGUAGAACUUAGAAGUUAAAUAAAACGCAGGUUCAAUUUUAUCUUCCUCCAGAGGACCUAUACCAGCUCUAAGUUCCAAGUUAACUCCCUGAUAC